CCUACGUGAUGCAGCAGUGAGGAAUAUUGGUCAAUGUGCGCGAGCCUGAACCAGCCUAGUAGCGUGAAGGAUGAAUGCCCUACGGGUUGUACACUUCUUUUAUAAAGGAAUAAAGUGAGGCACGUGUGCCUUGUUGUCUGUACUUUAUGAAUAAGCAUCGUCUAACUCCGUGCCAGCAGCCGCGGUAAUACGGAGGAUCCGCUCGUUAUCCGGAUUUAUUGUGUUUAAAGGGAGCGUAGAUGGGUUGUUAAGUCAGUUGUGAAAGUUUGCGGCUCAAACGUAAAAUUGCAAUUGAUACUGGCAGCAUUGAGUACAGUUGAGGGAGGCGGAAUUCGUGGUGUAGCGGUGAAAUGCUUAGAUAUCACGAAGAACGCCGAUUGCGAAGGCAGCGUACUAAACUGCCACUGACGUUGAUGCUCGAAAGUGUGGGUAUCAAACAGGAUUAGAUACCCCUGUAGUC
This 460-nucleotide ribosomal RNA is filed under the name uncultured bacterium. RNAcentral describes it as "partial 16S ribosomal RNA". It matches the Rfam family "Bacterial small subunit ribosomal RNA", at positions 338 to 795 of the family's 1533-position model. The record is from RNAcentral.